GGAAUGGGAGGAGUGGU
This 17-nucleotide microRNA is filed under the name Corchorus capsularis. Its description in RNAcentral is "sRNA CCACVL1_28058". The record is from RNAcentral. Lineage: Eukaryota; Viridiplantae; Streptophyta; Magnoliopsida; Malvales; Malvaceae.